UCUUUUUUUACCUCUCUUACUUUUAUUUUAUAACCAUCAAAGCUCGUAAAAUGAUCUACCAGGAUGACAAAACUCAUAAACUUACAACCACCAAAAUAAAAAAUAUCUACCAUAAUUAAAGAGUUAAUUGAGUUGAUAUCACACAUGUACAAGCCCAAUUUCUCCCGGGCCCAGGCAAACAAAAAAACAAAAAUUACCAGCCCAAUAUACCCAAUUAAAAUCCAAACAACAAAACCCAACAGACCCAAUACCCAAACCAAGCCCAAAACCUAAACUUUUUCAGAAAAAACAAAAAAACCCUAGCCUGUGACAACCACCCUACUGCUGCCGCCCUAGGUCAGCCACCACCAACUCCUCUGCAGCGCCACCUGCUCCACCUGCUACCGCCACUUGCACCUGCAAAAAAAUAGAGGAAGAAGAGACAACAAAAAUAAAAAAAAAUUGUAAAAAAUGGCUAUAAAGCCAUAGCAACUCUUGAAAAAGGGGGACCUUUUUUUUGAUGAUAUUGGAAAUAAAAA
RNAcentral lists this long non-coding RNA (518 nucleotides) under Gossypium raimondii (Peruvian cotton). RNAcentral describes it as "long non-coding RNA (GRAI_LNC008016)". The record is from RNAcentral. Lineage: Eukaryota; Viridiplantae; Streptophyta; Magnoliopsida; Malvales; Malvaceae.